AUACGGAGGGUGCAAGCGUUACUCGGAAUCACUAGGCGUAAAGCGCGCGCAGGCGGUCUUUUAAGUUGGAUGUGAAAGCCUACGGCUCAACCGUAGAACUGCAUCCAAAACUAUUAGACUAGAGUGUGGGAGAGGAAGAUGGUAUUAGUUGUGUAGGGGUAAAAUCCGUAGAGAUAACUAGGAAUACCAAAAGCGAAGGCAAUCUUCUGGAACACUACUGACGCUGAGGCGCGAAAGCGUGGGGAGCAAACAGGAUUAGAUACCCCAGUAGUCC
RNAcentral lists this ribosomal RNA (274 nucleotides) under uncultured bacterium. RNAcentral's name for it is "partial 16S ribosomal RNA". It matches the Rfam family "Bacterial small subunit ribosomal RNA", at positions 523 to 796 of the family's 1533-position model. The record is from RNAcentral.